This 738-nucleotide ribosomal RNA is filed under the name uncultured Mortierella. RNAcentral describes it as "eukaryotic LSU rRNA". The stretch from base 243 to 396 matches the Rfam family "5.8S ribosomal RNA". The record is from RNAcentral. Lineage: Eukaryota; Fungi; Mortierellomycota; Mortierellomycetes; Mortierellales; Mortierellaceae.
CUUGGUCAUUUAGAGGAAGUAAAAGUCGUAACAAGGUUUCCGUAGGUGAACCUGCGGAAGGAUCAUUCAUAAUAAAGUGUUUUAUGGCACUUUUUUAAAAAAUCCAUAUCCACCUUGUGUGCAAUGUUUUUUAGAUCUAGCCAAAAUGAUAUUUUGGUUAGGUUUUAUUAUAUUACAUCAACUCUUAUUUAACUUGAUUUGUCUGAAAAAUAUUAUGAAUUUUUUAACUUAAUUCAAAAUACAACUUUCAACAACGGAUCUCUUGGCUCUCGCAUCGAUGAAGAACGCAGCGAAAUGCGAUACGCAAUGUGAAUUGCAGAAUUCAGUGAAUCAUCGAAUCUUUGAACGCAUAUUGCGCUCUCUGGUAUUCCGGAGAGCAUGCUUGUUUGAGUAUCAGUAAACACCCUCAGAGCUUUUUUUUUUCCUUGAUUUUCGAAUCUUGGGGCUCUGGAUUUGAGUGAUCCCAACGUGGUCUUUUUCGAAAGGACAUGGCGGGCCACUUGAAAUACAGGUGCAGCUGAACUUUCUUCUGAGCUAAAAGCAUAUUUAUUUAGUCCUGUCAGCACAUGUGCUGCCGGAUUAUUACUUCUGCUGCAGCUUACAUAAAGGUUGACUGUUCAAAUGCUGACUGAUACAGAAUUUUUAGCACAGAAAGCGCAAGCGGAUCUGUGCUGUCAAACUCGAUCUCAAAUCAAGUAAGACUACCCGCUGAACUUAAGCAUAUCAAUAAGCGGAGGA